RNAcentral lists this ribosomal RNA (425 nucleotides) under uncultured bacterium. Its description in RNAcentral is "bacterial SSU rRNA". It matches the Rfam family "Bacterial small subunit ribosomal RNA", at positions 917 to 1344 of the family's 1533-position model. The record is from RNAcentral.
GGGCCCGCACAAGCGGUGGAGUAUGUGGUUUAAUUCGAUGCAACGCGAAGAACCUUACCAGGGUUUGACAUCCUGCGAAUCUCUUGGAAACGAGAGAGUGCCUCCGGGAACGCAGUGACAGGUGGUGCAUGGCUGUCGUCAGCUCGUGUCGUGAGAUGUUGGGUUAAGUCCCGCAACGAGCGCAACCCACGUCUUUAGUUGCCAGCAUUUAGUUGGGCACUCUAGAGAGACCGCCGGUGAUAAACCGGAGGAAGGUGUGGAUGACGUCAAGUCAUCAUGCCCCUUACAUCCUGGGCUACACACGUACUACAAUGCUACGGACAAAGAGCAGCAAGUUCGCGAGGACAAGCAAAUCUCAAAAAACCCUCUCAGUUCGGAUCGCAGUCUGCAACUCGACUGCGUGAAGUUGGAAUCGCUAGUAAUCG